This 372-nucleotide long non-coding RNA is filed under the name Pongo abelii (Sumatran orangutan). Its description in RNAcentral is "lncRNA (ENSPPYG00000029967.1)". The record is from RNAcentral. Lineage: Eukaryota; Metazoa; Chordata; Mammalia; Primates; Hominidae.
GCCGAUCAUUCUUUGUUAUGGGGGCUGUCCUGUGCAUCUCUGGUCUCUACCCACUCCAUGCCAGCCCUGCCCCCUCCUCAGUUAUGACAACCAACAAUGUUUGCAGAUAUUGCCAAAUGUCCCAGGAAGACAAAGUGGCCUCCAGUUGAGAAGCACGGGUCUGGAGAGAAAUGCUGCAGGAAGCCGAGAGGACUUUGCACCUCUGGCUCCAGGGAGCUCACAGGCAGGGGCUGGCCCAGCCCAGAGGCAAUGAAGACAGUGACGAUGAUGAUGGUGGUGGAGAUGCAGGUGCUGACUCAGGUUCUGAAAGCUGUGUUGUCUGCGUGCACGCGGGUGAGCCGGAAAGGAGACCUCCAGAGAAUGAAACAGACA